GUGAGUCCAAUCAAAUACCAACACACCAGCGAUGGAAAUAAAAAGGGGGUAGUUCACGGGAUAUUUUGAAUUUAUUUCUAUUGCUGGCGUGUUGAUGUUUCAUUGAAGGGAAUCGCAGCAGAUGGAACUCUCGUCCCAGAAUCGUGAAGGGAGACGUUGAUGCGUGUGGCGUCAGCUCAUCUCAGUUCUCAGCUCAACUAAAUGCUCCACUUCGCAGUUGGUUAUUUCUUGCUCGCCAUUUACAUUUAGAAUACUACGAUAGGGGAAGAGUUCCAAUGUCAGAUUAUCAGUUUCGACAGACAUUCCAACAUUCUCGUUCUUUCAUAUCCUUUACGGCAGGAAGAAGACCCACUCGAUGUAAAGAAAUGCUACCUCGACCUUAAUACUCUUCACGCCAGGGAGGAAUCUGCUAUAAGGUGAUAGCGUUUUGGAGAAUAUGUUUAGUUUUUUUUUUUUACUUUUUUUUUCUAAUCAUGAUUACAACGUUUUCAUGAGAGGUUGAGAGGUGAUCGCAGACAAGCAGAGAUAGAGGCAUAGGCGUGGGCGUUACAACUUUACAAGCGAGGCACAGAACAUCUUCGUUGCCUUGUACAAGACGUUGAAGAUGAGUCUUAACGUAUAUGCAUGAAAUAGACAUUCACUUUACCCACUUAAGCUUAACAUUGCAUCCUUUCUAUCAAACCCAUGCAUUCUGGUUAUGCAAUCUCCCUUUUAUGAUCAGGCUUCCAUUUCACUGGGAAAAACUGUCAUAAUUGUGACAAACGAAGUGUGAGUUAGCCGUCCAUAUCUCCCUGAAAAUGUUAGUGGAGCAACCCAUGUUGCCAAUGUGCGAGCAAAGAAAAUAGUGAGGCUUAUUGACAAUGAACUGACAUCGAAUCUUUUAAUGUGAGUAAACGUUGAUGAGAAAUUUUCCUUACUUUACCAAUUUGUAGCUUGAGUUAGAAAGGAAGUGAUUUCAAUCCCAUGGUCAUGGUCAAUGAUGAUAUCUCUCCACUACAAGUCAUACUAGAUUUCAUAUGAUGUGGUCAUUGUGCCUUGAGGUAGGUUUUCAUAAAACGCAAAUAAAAGGAGGGAAAAACAUAUCUUAUUGCGCACUCAUAUUGUAGGUGCUAGAUGGAGAGGUUGUUAUAGCUUGCAGUUGUUUAGGUUUCCCUAGUGGAAUUAUCAGCUAAAAUGAACAUUUUUAGAUCCAAAUCCAGUUUAAGUGGAUCCAAUUUUGAACUCGAACUUGAUGGAUGAGAUGACCAGGUAAAGUUGAUAGCCUUAGUCCUUGGGCCAAUUAUCCAUGAUAAGUGUAGCCGCCCCCUGAUCCCAACUUUUGCUGAAACAAUAAGUGAACAUAUUGAAUAUGCUAUAGCUACCAAAAUUGUAUGCCGAAAUGAAAAUAAAAAAUGCAGUAUUGGUCUGCUUUUCUCUUU
This is a long non-coding RNA of Nelumbo nucifera (sacred lotus), 1418 nucleotides long. RefSeq lists it as uncharacterized. NCBI's taxonomy places the organism in Eukaryota, Viridiplantae, Streptophyta, Magnoliopsida, Proteales, Nelumbonaceae. The record is from RefSeq and is a predicted model, not a curated record.